This 253-nucleotide ribosomal RNA is filed under the name uncultured bacterium. RNAcentral's name for it is "partial 16S ribosomal RNA". It matches the Rfam family "Bacterial small subunit ribosomal RNA", at positions 524 to 776 of the family's 1533-position model. The record is from RNAcentral.
UACGUAGGGUGCGAGCGUUGUCCGGAAUUAUUGGGCGUAAAGAGCUUGUAGGCGGUCUGUCGCGUCUGCUGUGAAAAUCCGGGGCUCAACCCCGGACUUGCAGUGGGUACGGGUAGACUAGAGUGUGGUAGGGGAGACUGGAAUUCCUGGUGUAGCGGUGAAAUGCGCAGAUAUCAGGAGGAACACCGAUGGCGAAGGCAGGUCUCUGGGCCACUACUGACGCUGAGAAGCGAAAGCAUGGGGAGCGAACAGG